RNAcentral lists this unclassified non-coding RNA (557 nucleotides) under Hevea brasiliensis (rubber tree). Lineage: Eukaryota; Viridiplantae; Streptophyta; Magnoliopsida; Malpighiales; Euphorbiaceae. The record is from RNAcentral.
AUCGAGAUCGCAAAUUCAGGGACCGCCCAAGUCCUCUUGGGCCACUUGGGAAGCCCCAAAGUGUUGUGUGUGAGGAAUUGAAUUCAAGAGCACAAGAACAGCAAAGUGCUACCGAACUGCUUUCACUUGGUAGUAGACCUCCAGUUGAAGUUGCUUCCGUGGAAGAGGGGGAAGAGGUUGAGCAGGUGGCAGGGAGCCCAGGUGUUCAAAGUAGGAGCCCAGUUACUGCUCCUCUUGGUGUUUCCGUGAAUUUAGGUGGAGCUCGUAAAACUCUUUCAAAUGUUUCUAUAUGUGGUAGUCACCUUCAAGAGACUUGCCUACACACUGGUGAGCUGCCUGACACAAGAUCAUUAAGAAGUCGUUUGGAGCAGAAGUUGGAGAUGGAGGGUAUUAGUGUGUCGGUGGACUGUGUUAACUUGUUGAAUAAUGGGUUGGACAUGUAUUUGAAGAGGUUAAUCGAGCCAUGUAUGGGCUUAGCUAGCUCGCGCUGUGGAACUGAUCACUUGAAAGAGGUUAAUGAGCAGUUCACAUCUGGUUCAAAUGGGAUGUUACCUGGG